CCUACGGGGGGCAGCAGUGGGGAAUAUUGGACAAUGGGCGAAAGCCUGAUCCAGCCAUGCCGCGUGUGUGAAGAAGGCCUUCGGGUUGUAAAGCACUUUCAGUGGGGAAGAAAGCCUUGGGGCUAAUACCCUCGAGGAAGGACAUCACCCACAGAAGAAGCACCGGCUAACUCCGUGCCAGCAGCCGCGGUAAUACGGAGGGUGCGAGCGUUAAUCGGAAUUACUGGGCGUAAAGCGCGCGUAGGCGGUCUGAUAAGCCGGUUGUGAAAGCCCCGGGCUCAACCUGGGAACGGCAUCCGGAACUGUCAGGCUAGAGUGCAGGAGAGGAAGGUAGAAUUCCCGGUGUAGCGGUGAAAUGCGUAGAGAUCGGGAGGAAUACCAGUGGCGAAGGCGGCCUUCUGGACUGACACUGACGCUGAGGUGCGAAAGCGUGGGUAGCAAACAGGAUUAAUACCCUGGUAGUC
Molecule: ribosomal RNA, 464 nt
Filed under: Vreelandella stevensii
Lineage: Bacteria; Pseudomonadati; Pseudomonadota; Gammaproteobacteria; Oceanospirillales; Halomonadaceae
Description: partial 16S ribosomal RNA
Rfam family: Bacterial small subunit ribosomal RNA
Source: RNAcentral